CAUGUGCUCAGGACCCUCUUCAGCAAGAAGAAGAAUCUGACCGGUGAUGACAUACCGAGGUUAGGAGUCCUUGCAUGUUACCUGGAUCCAGUGGAGCUGGGUUCAUUUCUCGAGGACUCAGCUGUGUCCUCGGCUCUGUGGCAGCAGCUGGCUCAGUGCAUGUCCAAGGGGUUCAUCAGCACCAGCGGCAGGGUAAGCAGCUAUUGUUCUCUAGUCUACUCCAGAAAAUCUGCUUUAAACCAACUUCCCCCUCAAUCUCUGGCUCACUCUGUUGAACUGUGUUUCAUGGUCAGCUGUCCUCUUGGUUGAUACCAGCCGUCGAGAGCCUGAACAUCAGCAGCAUGGCUCCCCCGGAGCUGUCUGGCCUCAGCGGUCUGUUCCCUCAGUUAGGAGCUUCCUUCCUGCUGUCGCUCCCCUCACAACAACUCCUGGAAAUCCUCUCACAACCAGGAUUACACAGAUAUUCCCCAGCACAGGCUUUCCAAAUGUUGUCCAAGAUUUCAAAGGACAUCCCUCUCAGCACAGAGACACUGUGCACACUGAAGCCGUUACUCUCCGGUCUCUCCCCUGCUGUGCUCAAAGACCUCCAGUGGCCUGAGAUCAGUGAAGCUGCCCACUGCCAGUGCUGGAGGACGUUGCUAAAUGAGCUUAAACCCGGCCUUAGAGCCAUGCUGUACAAUGCAAUGCAGGAGGUGACGGUGCUAUUAUCUGUGUGA
RNAcentral lists this long non-coding RNA (716 nucleotides) under Cottoperca gobio. RNAcentral describes it as "lncRNA (ENSCGOG00000018739.1)". The record is from RNAcentral. Lineage: Eukaryota; Metazoa; Chordata; Actinopteri; Perciformes; Bovichtidae.